RNAcentral lists this transfer RNA (85 nucleotides) under Felis catus (domestic cat). It matches the Rfam family "tRNA". From Rfam's summary of the family: Transfer RNA (tRNA) molecules are approximately 80 nucleotides in length. Their secondary structure includes four short double-helical elements and three loops (D, anti-codon, and T loops). The record is from Rfam by way of RNAcentral. Lineage: Eukaryota; Metazoa; Chordata; Mammalia; Carnivora; Felidae.
GCCUGAGUGGCUCAGUCAGUUAAGCAUCUGAUUUCAGCUCAGGACAUGAUCUCACAGUUCGUGGGUUCAAGCCCUGCUUCGGGCU